Peromyscus maniculatus bairdii (prairie deer mouse) is the source of this 412-nucleotide long non-coding RNA. RefSeq lists it as uncharacterized. NCBI's taxonomy places the organism in Eukaryota, Metazoa, Chordata, Mammalia, Rodentia, Cricetidae. The record is from RefSeq and is a predicted model, not a curated record.
CAGGAUUCUAUGAAAACAUGAACAAUUUUCUCUGUGGCACAUUUUCCUUCCUGAUUCCCAGCUUGUGAUAUUAAAAAAGUACAACCUCACUCAAAGGGAGCCAUACGGAAAGAACAGCUCUCUCAGAAUUAAAUAAUUCAGAAAAUUUGGGGCCACGAGGACACAAAAGAAGCACGGAGUGAGAGAAAGCGAUCAUAAUAUUGAAAAGCCCUAAUUACGCCUCUUCUCAGGGAACAUUUAUUUACAUGAAAAUAUUUUACAUUCACAGGUACUUAUCAAUUUUCCUUCAUUUGAAAUUCAGGGUAUUUUGAGAAUGUUUGAUUCUAUUAGCAAUUGUUAUUAAGUGAUAUUUUAAAAGAAAUUUUUGUGAUGCCACGGCCCAUGGGAGGAGGCAGUGUCUGCAAAAGUGGAA